Molecule: ribosomal RNA, 253 nt
Filed under: uncultured bacterium
Lineage: Bacteria
Description: partial 16S ribosomal RNA
Rfam family: Bacterial small subunit ribosomal RNA
Source: RNAcentral
UACGAAGGGGGCAAGCGUUGUUCGGAAUUACUGGGCGUAAAGGGCGCGUAGGCGGCUUAUCAAGUCAGGCGUGAAAUUCCCGGGCUCAACCUGGGGGCUGCGCUUGAUACUGAUUGGCUUGAAUGCGGGAGAGGAUAGUGGAAUUCCCAGUGUAGAGGUGAAAUGCGUAGAUAUCAGGAAGAACACCCGUGGCGAAAGCGGCUCUCUGGAACGGUACUGACGCUGAGACGCGAAAGCGUGGGGAGCGAACAGG